GGCUCCAGCAGUCGUCCACCAUUGCUCCCUACGUCACACUCCGGAGGGGUCUCAAUGCCGAAAGCAGCAAGGCGACCUUCCCUAGACCUAAGAGUGCCUUGGAGCGCCUGUACUCAGGGGAUCACCAGCGAGGCAAGAUGAGUGCAGAGGAGCAGCUGGAGCGCAUGAAGCGACACCAGAAGGCCCUGGUCCGAGAGCGCAAGAGGACACUGGGCCAAGGGGAGAGGACGGGCCUGCCCUCAUCUCGCUACCUCAGCCGGCCGCUCCCUGGAGAUCUUGGCUCAGGGAAGAGAGGCUUUGAGCCUGCUCUAUUCUCAACAACCUGCUCAGCGGUCAAAGGCCUGUGAGGAUGCAGGUCCUGGGUCAACAGGAAGUCACCACGGAGCUGGACAGUCAUGGUUGGAUCUUAUCGUGGAAGCGUGAGCAGGACUUUGACCUGCAGUUGCUGGAACGGGUCGUGCAAGGGGAAAAAAAGGACAAGGAGGAGAAUGGCUGGUUGAAAGUGCA
Molecule: small RNA, 507 nt
Filed under: Pan troglodytes (chimpanzee)
Lineage: Eukaryota; Metazoa; Chordata; Mammalia; Primates; Hominidae
Description: processed transcript
Source: RNAcentral